UACAGAGGGGGCAAGCGUUGUUCGGAAUUACUGGGCGUAAAGGGCGCGUAGGCGGCCCGCUAAGUCGAACGUGAAAUCCCCAGGCUCAACCUGGGAACUGCGUCCGAUACUGGCAGGCUUGAAUCCGGGAGAGGGAUGUGGAAUUCCAGGUGUAGCGGUGAAAUGCGUAGAUAUCUGGAGGGACACCGGUGGCGAAGGCGGCAUCCUGGACCGGUAUUGACGCUGAGGCGCGAAAGCUAGGGGAGCAAACGGG
This 253-nucleotide ribosomal RNA is filed under the name uncultured bacterium. RNAcentral's name for it is "partial 16S ribosomal RNA". It matches the Rfam family "Bacterial small subunit ribosomal RNA", at positions 524 to 776 of the family's 1533-position model. The record is from RNAcentral.